RNAcentral lists this transfer RNA (69 nucleotides) under Gymnomuraena zebra (zebra moray). Its description in RNAcentral is "tRNA-Ser". Lineage: Eukaryota; Metazoa; Chordata; Actinopteri; Anguilliformes; Muraenidae. The record is from RNAcentral.
AAGGGAGAAAGUCUUCUCGGAAAAGUGCUAAUUUUUCUCAAGCUAUGGUUAGACUCCAUAGAUCCCUUG